UGGGGAAUCUUGCGCAAUGGACGAAAGUCUGACGCAGCAACGCCGCGUGAGGGACGAAGGCUUUCUGAGUUGUAAACCUCUUUCGACAGGAACGAUUGUGACGGUACCUGUAGAAGAAGCACCGGCCAACUAUGUGCCAGCAGCCGCGGUGAUACAUAGGGUGCGAGCGUUAUUCGGAUUUAUUGGGCGUAAAGAGCUCGUAGGCGGUUCGACAAGUCGGGUGUUAAACCCCCAGGCUCAACCUGGGGCCGCCACCCGAAACUGUUGUGACUAGAGUUUGGUAGGGGAUCACGGAAUUCCUGGUGUAGCGGUGGAAUGCGCAGAUACCAGGAGGAACACCAGUAGCGAAGGCGGUGAUCUGGGCCAAUACUGACGCUGAGGAGCGAAAGCGUGGGGAGCGAACAGG
RNAcentral lists this ribosomal RNA (406 nucleotides) under uncultured bacterium. Its description in RNAcentral is "bacterial SSU rRNA". It matches the Rfam family "Bacterial small subunit ribosomal RNA", at positions 355 to 776 of the family's 1533-position model. The record is from RNAcentral.